AAGUCCCUAGAACGUUUUUUAAUGAGCCCCACUCUUAGGCCCCAUCCUAAGAGUUUUAUUCGGAAAAUCCUUACAAUUACUAUCGAGAAUCAAGAGAAAAGUUGGAAUACUAAAUAUGAUAAACGAGGAGUGAAACAUGAAAAGAAUCGAGAAAAUAUCGAACCUAUGAACAAAUAAAAUACAUUAAAAAUACAUUAAAAAUACAUUAAAAAUAAUUAUUACACGCCUGCGAUGCUAAGUAUAAUUUGCACUGAUCCAUGGUAUCUAUGAAAACACGAAAGUGCAUAGCAAUGAUUUUUCUCACGAGAGAUAGCGAUGCAAUAUUAAAGUAAUAAACAUAUUAAAAUAC
This 349-nucleotide long non-coding RNA is filed under the name Polistes fuscatus (common paper wasp). Its description in RNAcentral is "uncharacterized LOC122516623". The record is from RNAcentral. Lineage: Eukaryota; Metazoa; Arthropoda; Insecta; Hymenoptera; Vespidae.